UACAGAGGGUGCGAGCGUUUGUCCGGAAUCACUGGGCGUAAAGGGCGCGUAGGCGGCCGAGUAAGCGUGCGGUGAAAGCCCGGGGCUCAACCCCGGGUCGGCCGUGCGAACUGCUGGGCUUGAGCACUGUAGAGGCAGGUGGAAUUCCGGGUGUAGCGGUGGAAUGCGUAGAGAUCCGGAAGAACACCCGUGGCGAAGGCGGCUCUCGUGGA
RNAcentral lists this ribosomal RNA (212 nucleotides) under uncultured bacterium. RNAcentral describes it as "partial 16S ribosomal RNA". It matches the Rfam family "Bacterial small subunit ribosomal RNA", at positions 524 to 733 of the family's 1533-position model. The record is from RNAcentral.